UUAUCUUAUUAGUGUGGUUUCAUUUUAUUUUGCUUAGCCGUAAUUUCUAUAAUGAGUUGAUUAUGUGAUAAGACAUCAGCAAUAAUAUUUGUUAAGAAAAAAAGUGUGCCCAUGGUCAGUGGGCUCCUUUGCUGUUUGUUGAUUGAAAAUUUCCCUUCCAGGGCCUUCAUGGAAACUGCUCUGGUGUCACAGAAAUAUAUCCAAGGAUGGAGGUAAAUCCCAUGUGCAAAUACUGUCAAAACAGUGCCUCUCCUGACACCAAAACAAAAACGUGAGAAUUUCAGUGAAAUAGUCAUGCAUUGAGUAAAGUACAAAAAAUCUGAAAGUUUUAAUAAACUCAAAUAUAUCUUUCAGAAACCAGUAUACAAAUGAUUUCUCAUUUACCUUUUUAAAUACAACUAAAUACACACAAAAUCUAAGCAACAUUUAGCAUUUUCACUCUAAAACUUGGAGACCUCAUCUUUUAUCUAACCUCUCUUUUUUCCAGUACAGCGUCAUUACCAUGGAGUUUCAUUGUGUACGUGUACAAGCUCGUCUGAAAAGAGUUGGCUUGUAAAUGGGAGAAGCUGUCCAAGAAGUAUUCUCACAAUGAAAUAAUCAUUUUAUUUUGUCCAUACCGACAAACAACCAGUCAAUUCAGCUGGAGGAAAAAACAAACAAACAAACAAACAUUUUAUUUUCCAAAUUUGUAAUGAGUUCGCUUAAUUAUUUUUGGUUUAUUGUGUUAUCUACAUAGUUGAAUCUUAAAUCUGAAUUUUCAUAACCUAAGGAAGGAGUCCCACUGAGUGAUGUUUUAUGUUACAAUCAUUUUACUGUAAUCAAUAUUUAAGCGUAUGGUAAAGGCAGCUAAUAUUGUGUCAUAAACACUUCAAGUGAGUCACAGAACUCAUUUCACCUGGAGGCUAUGGAAGAGCCCUGGGCUUCCGCAUUCCCUCCCUGACUCCUACUAUGUCCACCUUUAAUAGUUUUGUAUGUGUCACUCCCUAAAACAACAACAACAAAAAUGCAACUUGAAAACCACAGAUCCAUUCUAGCCUUUUACUCAGUUCACCCCUGUACAGCAUUGCACAAAGACAUGGAAACCAGCACAGAUGACAUUUGGAGACUACCAACCUUGGCUACUUGCCUUCAAGGAGCAUUUAUGUCAUUUAAAAAGUUGCUGUACUUUAGCUUAGUGGCAGCCUUCUUUCCACCAUUUUAGUAUCUGCCAUCGAUUUUUCCAUAAAAAACUGAGUGCCAGAUCUUGGCUUUUCUUGACUGUUUAAGCUCGAUAUCAGGAAGAAAAUGAGGACUAACAAUGCUUGUUCCAUCUGUUUCCAUUUUGUCAUGAAAAUCAAAGGAGGUAGUGGAUGUGAAAUUUUACUGAUUACAUAUAUAGGAUCCAAAUAACAUGCAGUGACAAACCUCCUGCAUAUGGCUGAAUGCUAAGCCACCAGCUACUCCUGCCCUCACAUCUCACAACUUUGCUGCAAGAAAAAACAAAACAGAACAUCUUGGCUAAAACUGCCCACCUCCUUACCCCAAGCUUGAUGCCAGCUGAAGAGUCCCAGGAGACCAGUUGGCUUAGCCCGGGUCAGAGGCCCUGGAUGGGAGUGGAUGAUUGGUAGCCAUCAUUUGCACCUGAUGGUUAGAGUGUGAGAGAAGCAGUCUUCCUGAAGAAGAGAGGUGGUGUCCUCAGAAAAGAGGAAGGGUACAAGGUUGUGAAAGCAAUAAAUGCUCACGCAAAAGAGGGUUGACCCAAGGUCUGGCCUUCUUCUUGCCACUCUCUAGUGAGGGAGCCCUUAGGAAAUUGAUUAUGCUCUCUGUCAAGCGGCAAAAAUAAAACCUGCCCCUGCCUUA
Homo sapiens (human) is the source of this 1839-nucleotide long non-coding RNA. RefSeq lists it as uncharacterized. The record is from RefSeq and is a predicted model, not a curated record. Lineage: Eukaryota; Metazoa; Chordata; Mammalia; Primates; Hominidae. The transcript is spliced from 4 exons.